This 496-nucleotide ribosomal RNA is filed under the name uncultured bacterium. Its description in RNAcentral is "partial 16S ribosomal RNA". It matches the Rfam family "Bacterial small subunit ribosomal RNA", at positions 28 to 506 of the family's 1533-position model. The record is from RNAcentral.
GAUGAACGCUGGCGGCGUGCCUAAUACAUGCAAGUCGAGCGAACGGACGAGAAGCUUGCUUCUCUGAUGUUAGCGGCGGACGGGUGAGUAACACGUGGAUAACCUACCUAUAAGACUGGGAUAACUUCGGGAAACCGGAGCUAAUACCGGAUAAUAUUUUGAACCGCAUGGUUCAAAAGUGAAAGACGGUCUUGCUGUCACUUAUAGAUGGAUCCGCGCUGCAUUAGCUAGUUGGUAAGGUAACGGCUUACCAAGGCAACGAUGCAUAGCCGACCUGAGAGGGGGAUCGGCCACACUGGAACUGAGACACGGCCCAGACUCCUAGGGGAGGCAGCAGGAGGGAAUCGUCCGCAAUGGGGGAAAGCCUGACGGGGCAACGCCGGGUGAGUGAUGAAGGUUUUGGGUUCGUAAAACUCUGUUUUUGGGGAAAAAAAUAUGUGGAAGUAACUGUGCACAUCUUGACGGUACCUAAGCAGAAAGCCACGGCUAACUACGU